CUACUGCGUACCAUACAUCGAGCGCUGCAGGCUAGUCCGGCCUGGACAGCGGCGGCUACUCGAAGUUGUAGUGCUUGUCGACGGCCUCGGCGACGUCCCAGGUGCAGCUCAUGCCCUUGGGGAAGACGACCAGGUCCCCCGCGGCGAUCUCCACGAACUCCUCCCCGUGGCCCUCCGGGUACACCUUCACCUUCCCCUGCAGCAGGUAGCACGUCUCCUUGGCCGAGUAGGUCCACGGGAACUUGCUCUUCUCGCACCCCCACCUGAUCGAUUCGUGCAUUCACCAGCAGGUCGCCGUCAGCAAGGGGAACGAGCCCAGUGGAGGCGGGGGGGACGGCGGGGAGAUCGGAGAUUGGGAUGCCCGGGAGGGCGGGUAGCUUACUUGGGCCACUGGCGGACGCCGAGCUCGGAGAGGCGGGACUCGGGCGGGUUGCGCUCCACCCUGAUGCCCAGCUUCUCCGUCGCCAUCGUCUCCGCCGACGCCCUCACCGCCGCGAAUCGCCGCCUGGCUGCGCUGGGGGAAGAAGAGGAGUAGCUGAGGCGGCCGGUGCUGGUGCGGAGCUGGACCGGAGUGGCUACCAUUGGGCUCGCCAUCUCUCUCUCAAAAGCGGUAUGCGAGGGC
This 622-nucleotide long non-coding RNA is filed under the name Setaria viridis. RNAcentral describes it as "long non-coding RNA (SVIR_LNC008333)". Lineage: Eukaryota; Viridiplantae; Streptophyta; Magnoliopsida; Poales; Poaceae. The record is from RNAcentral.